UAGUAAAAUCUGCUCAAUGAAUUUAAAUAGCCGCUAAUUAGUGCUAAGGUAGCAUAAUAAUUUGUCUUUUAAUUAAAGACUAGAACAAAAGAKUAUACAUUUUUAUUUAUUUAUUAAAAAUAAUUUCGAAAUUAUUUUAAAUGUAAAAAAACAUUUAUAAAAAAGAAAGACGACAAGACCCUAUUGAACUUAACUUCAGUUUAACUGGGGCAGUUAAUUAUUUAAAAUUUUAAUUAAAUUUAUAAUAAAAUUAUCCAAUAAUGAUAAUCAAGUUACCAUAGGGAUAACAGCAUAAUUUAUUUUUAAAGAUCUUAUAAAAAAAUAAGAUUAUGACCUCGAUGUUGAAUUAAUAAUCUUUUAAAAGAAAAAUUUUAAAAAGAAAGUCUGUUCGACUUUUAAAUAAUUACAUGAUUUGAGUUCAGACCGGUGUAAGCCAGGUCGGUUUCUAUCUUCUUACUCUUUUUACAGUACGAAAGGACCUAAAAAUUUAAUUAAAUUAAUAAUUUGGCAGAAAAUGCAUUAGAAUUAGAAUCUAAUUAUAUAUAUAUA
This 549-nucleotide unclassified non-coding RNA is filed under the name Soesiladeepakius lyra. RNAcentral describes it as "partial contains 16S ribosomal RNA and tRNA-Leu". The stretch from base 164 to 454 matches the Rfam family "Archaeal large subunit ribosomal RNA", at positions 2154 to 2717 of the family's 2987-position model. Lineage: Eukaryota; Metazoa; Arthropoda; Arachnida; Araneae; Salticidae. The record is from RNAcentral.